UCAGCUCCCAAGUCAUAAUUUAAAAUUAAACGAACUUCUAAACUUUAGAAGUACCCAAGUACGUUGUUAACAUAAGCAAAUGUCAAGUCAAAUACACAAUCACAAAAUGAUGUUCAUGGGCCAUAACUACUAAUCCGUCUCCGUUGCACGACUUCCACUUUGAUCCGUCUGACUCUGUGCCGUCCUCGGAUCACCAUGAGUAUAGCUAUGGAGCACUGUAAGAAAUUGAAAUUAAGAUAAACAAAAUCAAACAAUGUAACGUAAUAAUAUGUUAAUGUCAAAUAGACUUGAAUAAAAUAUAAUUACCCAUUUCAAACUCCUUCUGUUGCUCUUCUUCUGGAACGCCUUCUUCAUCUUUUUUAUCAAUAUCGGUAGAUCUUAACCAAUCCUCAGCACAAAUCAAGGCCUCAACCAUUUCCGGCGCCAAAGAGCUUCUAUACGGUGAUAGAACACGUCCUCCCAUACUAAAUGCACACUCCGAAGCAACACUAGAUAUGGGGACGGCUAAGAUAUCUCUGGCCAUCUCAGCAAGUACAGGAUAACGUGCAGUAUUGCUCGACCACCACAUCAAAAUAUCAAACUGGUCGACAUCAUUCUUACCCACUUUGUAUUGCUUCUCAGUGAGGUAGAUAGUGAGCUCGUUUGUAUCAAGAUCAUCACAAUCUUGAUCACUCUCUUGCAAAGCCUCAAGGCUCAUUGCACUACGACGCUCUGAUCUCCUUUCUCUGAUUGAUGUCGACGUAGAAGCACUAACUCGUGGUCGAGAUGUGGGCGCCACAUGAUGAGAUACCUUAUAAAACUCAAAUAACUCCUUCAAUGCGCUCGUCACCUCACUCACCAAAACAGCUGCACGUUCCAAACCAUACACUGAUUUGAAGCAUUUCUCCACAAGCUUCAACUUUUGCCUAGGGUCUAACACAGCAGCAAUAUAAAGAAGCCGAUUCAUGUUUGGAUUUGAUUCAACUCCUUCCAACCAAUAUUUUCCAAUCUUCUUCCUCAUGUUUGUAGCCAUCAAAGACACCUCCUGAUCCUCAUUCAGCUCCAACUCAGCAAUAAGAUCAAAUAUGUCACACAUCUCAACAAAGAAGAGGUGUGAAGUGGCAUAUGAAGUCCCAGAUGCAAGAAGAGUGAGGUCAUAGAAUUUUUUGAGGUAUUCUAUGAUCUUCCUGAUGUUCACCCAAUCCACCGCUUCAGGUGCUCCAAUAAUAUGCUGCCCAUUAUCAUAUUUCUUGUUCCUCAAGUCCUCUGUAUAUGAUGAAAACAUACUCCCACACACCUCGAAUACCUGCCAAAUGAAAUGAUCUAAGCAUGUAGAUUCAUCUUAUCAUAUAUUCACAUAUUGCAAACAAAGAAUCUCUAAAAUGCAGUACAAUAUAUUCAGUGAGUCUUUGAAUCCAUGAUUAGAUGUUUCAAAACAACUGAAGCAUUACUGCAAGAAACAUCAGAGGGAGAUACAUAAUAUUAAAACAGGUAAUUACUAAGUGUUGUAAGAAAAAACACAAGCAUAUUUCCAUUUCAGACAAUUUGCAACUUCUGAAAUAAAGGACAAAUAUCACACUAAUUUCCUAAACACCUCGAAUACCUGCUCAUACGGCUCAGCUGACUCCAACAUAAGAUAUGUUGAGUUCCACCGUGUAGGGACAUCCAAACAUAAUUGCUUCUUGGACUCAAUCUUGACUAGCUUUGCAUACUCAUAAAACUUUGAAGCUCUUGCUGGGGAGGCCUUGAUCCACUUCACUGCUUCUCUAACUCUGUGAACCGAGAUACCAAUCUCAAGUAAACCAUCCUUAACCACCAAAUUGAGGAUGUGGGCUGCACAACGCAUAUGGAGGUAGCCUCCAUCGAGAACUGUAGACCGUAUCCCAUCGAGAUAAUGCUUCACAUGUUUCACUGCCCCAUCGUUCGCUGUUGCAUUGUCUAACGUGCAACAAAGCAAUCUCUGCAACCCCCAAUCCUUCAUUGCCGUCACAAUAGCUUCACCAAUAUCAACUCCCUUGUGACUAACAAUCUUGACAAAGGUAAUGAUCCUCUUAUGUAAGAUCCAAUCCUUGUUGAUGAAGUGGGCAGUAACACACAUAAAAUUUGUGUUGUUUACUGAAGUCCAGCUAUCUGUGGUCAAUGAGACCCUACCCAUGCCUUUUUUGGUGAAGAAAGUCUUCAAUCGAUCUUUCCGCUCCAAGAAGAGCUUCACUACAAUCAGCUCUAAUCGUCUGCCUUGAUGGAAUAUGGAACAUUGGGCAAGCAGCAGCAACGAAUUUUUUGAAGCCCUCUUUUUCCACAUGUAUGAAUGGGAGCUCAUCAAGGAUAAUCAUCUCAACGAGAGUGAGACGAACAAACUUUUGGUCGAAUUUCCAAGCUGACAACGCGACUGGUCCCAUCCGUGCCGGCAGAUGUGAAAUGCAAUACAGUUUGACCACCUGUUGCAUUUUUAUGCUUUCUAGAGCAUGAGAUAGUGUGAUUUUUGAGGCCAUUCGUCCCAUUACGGGAAUCGGCGUUAAUUAUAGCUCCACAUGUCUUGCACUUCCCCUUUCGCGUCUUAUCCGGAGGAUCACCUUCUUCAACCCAUAAAAGUGUGAAUCCUUUCCAAUGAUCUGAACGCACACUUCCUCCUUGCCCUUUUCUUUGAUGCUCCACUUUGAGCUCCAGUUUGUAUUGUCUCUUCCCCGUCUUCGCCAAUAGGAAUAUCCUCUAAGCCAUCAUCAUCCAUAUCAUCAUUCAUAUCAAUAUCAUCUUCCUCAACUCUAUUACUAUUGCGAGAAGAUUCCAUGACAAUGUAGCAAACUACAAAACAAAACAACAAGUAUCAAACUAUGAAAUAUGAAGUGCCAAAAUCAGUAAAUCACACUAUACCAUAUAAACUGCCAAAAUCAAACUACCAACAACAAGUAUCAAACUAUACCAUAUAAACUGCCAAAAUCAAACUAUACCAUAUAAACUGCCAACAACAAGUAUCAAACUACCAUAUAAACUGCCAAAAUCAGUAAAUCACACUAUACCCGAGAAGUAUACAUUCUAUACAUUCUAUAAACUACCAUAUAAACUGCAAAAUCAGUUUCCUAAAUCCUAAGUAGUAAGUACUAAAUUUGUGACGUAUACAUUCUAUAAACUACCAUAUAAACUGCCAAAAUCACACUAAAUUUGUGAAGUAUACAUUCUAUACAUUCUAUAAAGUAUAAACUACCAUAUAAUGUAUACAUUCUAUACAUUUGUGAAGUAUACAUUCUAUACAUUUGUGAAGUAUACAUUCUAUACAUUCAAUGACAAAGAAAGCUCACCUGUCGUCGGAGCUCGGAGGCUGCUGCACGGGCGAACGGCUGCUGCACGGGCUGCUGCGGCGGCGAAGGGCUGCUGCCACAGGCGAGGCGAGGGUCGCGAACUGGGGAGGCCGGAGGCGGAACUGCUGCUGCACUGGCGAGGGGCGAGGGGCGACGGCGAGUGGCGGCCGGCCGGGGCUGGACGUGAGAGCCGAGAGUUCACAGUUCUAGGGCUUGGAAUUGCCGAUUGCGGGAGGGAAGGGAUGAAUUGAAAAACAGGGGGGGGGGGGGGGCGCGGGAGGAGGUAAGUCUAGGGCUGGGGUUCACAGUUUUUAGUUUUAGAUUAAUUAAAUAAUUUAAAUAGAAUUAAAAAAAUCGGGUAUUUUCGGGUAUACCCGAUACCCGAUCGGGUAUACCCGAUACCCGUUUUUUUGAACCCCUAACUACCCGAACCCGUACCCGAUCCCGAAAAAAUCGGGUAUCG
Molecule: long non-coding RNA, 3738 nt
Filed under: Salvia miltiorrhiza (redroot sage)
Lineage: Eukaryota; Viridiplantae; Streptophyta; Magnoliopsida; Lamiales; Lamiaceae
Description: long non-coding RNA (SMIL_LNC008517)
Source: RNAcentral